Triticum aestivum (bread wheat) is the source of this 74-nucleotide non-coding RNA. The record is from Rfam. NCBI's taxonomy places the organism in Eukaryota, Viridiplantae, Streptophyta, Magnoliopsida, Poales, Poaceae.
GGGGAUGUAGCUCAAUUGGUAGAGCACUAAUCAAUGCAGAAUAGAGGCAAGGGGUUCGAUUCCUCGCAUAUCCA